CCCUUAGAUGUUCUGGGCCGCACGCGUGCUACACUGAGUGGAUCAGCGGGUCAGGUUGCGCGAAAGUGUUUCCUAAUCUUGAAAUCCGCUCGUGAUGGGGAUUGACGGUUGCAAUUUUCCGUCAUGAACGAGGAAUACCUUGUAAGCGCGGGUCAUCAUCCCGCGCUGAAUACGUCCCUGCCCUUUGUACACACCGCCCGUCGCUCCUACCGAUUGAAGUUUUCGGUGAGUUGACAGGAGGAUUUUUUUGAAACUGGUUCGCCAGUGGAUUUUAGAUCCAAAUGCCAACGAAUCGAUGGCUUUAGAGGAAGGAGAAGUCGUAACA
This 325-nucleotide ribosomal RNA is filed under the name uncultured eukaryote. Its description in RNAcentral is "partial 18S ribosomal RNA". It matches the Rfam family "Eukaryotic small subunit ribosomal RNA", at positions 1470 to 1796 of the family's 1831-position model. The record is from RNAcentral.